Molecule: ribosomal RNA, 505 nt
Filed under: uncultured Pseudomonas sp.
Lineage: Bacteria; Pseudomonadati; Pseudomonadota; Gammaproteobacteria; Pseudomonadales; Pseudomonadaceae
Description: partial 16S ribosomal RNA
Rfam family: Bacterial small subunit ribosomal RNA
Source: RNAcentral
CGCCUUGCCAGCCCGCUCAGAAACUCAAAGGAAUUGACGGGGGCCCGCACAAGCGGUGGAGCAUGUGGUUUAAUUCGAUGGUACGCGAGGAACCUUACCAGGGCUUGACAUACGUUGGAAGCGCAUCGAAAGGUGCGUGCCGCUUGCGGCCGGCGUACAGGUGCUGCAUGGCUGUCGUCAGCUCGUGCUGUGAAGUGUUGGGUUAAGUCCCGUAACGAGCGCAACCCUUGUCCUUAGUUACCAGCACGUUAUGGUGGGCACUCUAAGGAGACUGCCGGUGACAAACCGGAGGAAGGUGGGGAUGACGUCAAGUCAUCAUGGCCCUUACGGCCUGGGCUACACACGUGCUACAAUGGUCGGUACAAAGGGUUGCCAAGCCGCGAGGUGGAGCUAAUCCCAUAAAACCGAUCGUAGUCCGGAUCGCAGUCUGCAACUCGACUGCGUGAAGUCGGAAUCGCUAGUAAUCGUGAAUCAGAAUGUCACGGUGAAUACGUUCCCGGGCCUU